AAAAUUAUAAGUGAACUAACAGCACUUUCACUGCCUCCGUGAUCUGAUACUCUAAAAACCAUCUUCACAAUAACAUUUACACCAUCUGGAAUAUUUACCACUUCCUCUUUUGCACUUCUAAAUACCAAAAGUUUCUCAAUUGCUGCCAUUGCUUCUCGUGCAGAGCUUCUUUCUCUUUGUUGAGCAUUAGAAAUGUAUGAAAUAAGUCCAGUAACUGCACCUUCCACAACCAAAUUGUUGAUGUUUUGUUCCAAGUUACUUAGUGAACAUAUGGCUUUGGUUGCUGCAUCAGAUGCCUCUGAGUUGUGGUGUAGAAGUUGCACGAUUUCUCGUAAAAGCUCGGUUGUGUUUCCGAGUAAAACACUAAGAUCUUUAGUCUCAACUGAAGAUGAAAUUGCCUGAACCAAAUGACACAAACUGAUCUUGAUCAUGGAAGUGCCAUUACUGAACAAAACCAUGAACCGUGAUAGUUUUGACUCAUCCAUUAGCACAUUUAGGGACUGUAUCUGUUCAAGAGAAACCAUAGCAACCAUAAAACUAAGCGCUUGCUCUACAAAUUCCUGAUAUUCUUGUGAUAGUUUGGUUUCUUCUUGCCCAAAAAUCAACUCCAAAAGCACUGACAAGAACCCAAUUCGGAUCAAACAAGAAUUACGAGAAGGAAACUCUUCACAUAAAAUUCUAACUCUUUGAAGAACUUGUAGCUUGUAUUCAUAAGAAAACUCAUCAGAUUCAAGUUUGAUUCUCAAAGCAGCCAUAGAAUCAAUAGUAGAAACACAUUGAGGGUUUAUUUGGUCACUCAUCUGAAGCCACUGACAAAUCAAAUGACGAAGAGUAUUAUUAGGAACAAAAGAAGGAUCAUGAAGCUUCUGCAUUGUAACAGGACAUGUAAGAUUCCCUGAUGCCAACCAUUUCUCAAUGCUUGAUCUUUCAUAAGUUUGUCCUGUGCAAAGAGUGACAGGAUCCUUAAACAAAUCAAGACUUAUUGGACAUCUAAACAAGUGAGGGAUGGUCUCAUGAUCAUCAGCUUCUUUCAUGGAGAAGAAAAAGAAUAAAACUAAUUACAAAAACCAGAGAAAGAAGAGAGUGAGUACCCCCUAUUAGAAAUUUGGUAAAAAGAGAGAUGGAAAUGAAAUCUUUGAGAGAGGUGGAAUGAUAAAAAAGGAAGAUACGGUGGGAAAGUUUUCAAAAGAAAGAGAAAAAAGGGAGACCGAUUGAGUUCUUAAAGGCUUUUCUUUUCAAGUCACAAAAGAAGAACACAACAGUGUGAUAUUUGAGGAAAGGAAAAUGGAGACCCCAAAAGCUAAAAGGCAUAAAGAGAGAUGAAAAACAGGUAUAGAAAUUGGAAUCAGAUGGUAUAAAGGUGGAUUUAGAAAGCAAAAAAAGCUGAAGGAAAGAAAAGUAGGCAAAAUAUUAAGACUUAAACAGUGAGUUUCUAUGGGGGAAAAGUGUACUGAUUUUGGUCUGAGCUAAUGCUGUUUCACACUGGCAGAUAUAACGAAAAAAAAAGAUAAAAGAGUAUAGAUCAGAAGAGAGGGACAAAGUAGAGGUUAAUCCUAGUGAGAGAGAUGAACAAAGUAAAAUGAUAUGGAAGAAGUAUGAGAAAAAUUGGUCCCCAUUACUCUAAUAUAGAAUUCAGUCAAAGUGACCCACCAUCAAAUAAUAAUAAUUAUUAUUGUCUUUGAAGUUUGAAUCAACCCUCAUAAUAAGAAAAAAAAAUGGGGAAAAAAGGAGAAAAAUAAUGGGUCUAAUUCCCUGUGAUAGAGAGAGAGAGAGAGAGAGAGAGUUUUGACUAAGAAUUUUUCUUAUUCCUUGAGAUAUAGAUAGAGAGAGAGAGUUUGACUGUGAAAUGUUAAUGGUAAUCACAAUUAGAUUUUGAUGAGAAUUCUGAUCUCAAUUAUGAUUAUAAACACUCAUACCAAUCAUAUAAUGCAAAUCUAAACUGGAUAAUUCUCUAAUAUGUGUACUAAUAAAGGUGGCCUUUUUUUCCCCUAUGUUCAUACCUUUAAGAUCUUUCAAAAUUCAAACAAAAUUUGAAUUCUAAAUUUUAUAUAUUUUAAAAUUUUGGUUUUAUUUUUAGAAAUUGGAUAUGAGUUAAAAAGAAAAAAAAUAAACCCAAAAUUUAAAAAUAAAUAAUCGAAUAAUUAUCAAACGUAACCUACGAGAUCAUGUAAAUAUGUACUUAAUUACUUUAUUUGAAGUUGCAAUUACUUGCUUGAUCUAGGCCAUAAAUAUGACAUAGGAUGGUCUAACAAUAGCGAAUCUAUUUGAACAAUAAUCAUAUCAAUUAUUAAAAGUUGAAGCAGUUUACACAACAAAAUGGUAUAUUCUUUCCUAUAUAGACAUGAUUUAACGACUAUAGAUAUAAAACAGUGAAGAAAAGUCAGAAUAGAUGACUUUUACUCUUUAAAUUUUUAUUUUUUCUUUAUAAAACGUAGACCAACUCAAAUAUUUAACUAAAGGAAUAGUCAUUUAUUUGAAGGUUCUAAUUUUUUAAGAUAUAUUAAAAUGAAACUACAAAUUUCACCUACAUCCCAAACACAUGUAAUGAGCUAAUAUACAUAAAACAGAAAGAGAAAAAUCAAUUGACUCUCCCACUUUGAAUCGCAAUUAUUUAUUUUUGAUUCAUUUCUAUUUUCAUUUAGAAGUUGAAAAUUAUUUACAUAAAAUUAUUCUUAAAAAAUAUCACAAAAUCUCUCUAAACAAGUAAAUAAAAGUAGAGAAGGAUUAGCAAGUGAAAAGUUACUCAAAUUUGAUGAAAAUCACUCCUAUAUCUAUUUAGAUCCACGACUUUAAAACAAAAUUUUAAAUAAGAGUCUAAAUAAGUUAACUUAAUUAAAUUGAUAGAUAUAUAACAAUGGGUAAUUAGUAUAAAGUUAAAAAAGUUUUAAUUAAACUAAUACAAAGUCAAAAUUUAAAAGUAUAGAUUAAAUUUUGUAGUCCCUCUAGAAGUGAUGUUAAAUGCGCAACAUCAUUCAAGUAAUUAAUCCACUUAGAAUCCAUAGUUUUUGUUGAGUAGAGAAGUCUUCAACAAUGGAAUUCCAUCACAAACUAAGAACCUUUUUUGUAACAAAAAGAGGCCAAAUUUAAUUUGUUCACGUAAAGUGUUACAAAAAAAAGUCACUCAAUUUUAUAUUAUAAAUAAAAAGAAAGAAUGGAAACUACCAAAUUAUGGAUUAUACCUGAUUAUGGAUUCAAAUAAAACUUUGUCUCAUAUAUAUAUAAAACUUAUAGCUUAGCUUAUAAGUUUACUUUAGAAAGACUUCCACAUUUUGCUUCCAAACCGUCUUUAAAGUUGAGGGACCUAAUAUUCAUUAUACAAAAUUAAAAGUCAUGAUAUGUAAAUAAUUAAUAAGGUCGUAGUUGUACAAUCUAUAAAACAUAUGUCAUAUUUGAAUAAUUAAACGGUCAAAGAUCGAGGAUGAUAAUGAUGACGAACUAAGUUGAUUCAAUGAACAUGAUACUUUUAUAUGUAUAUUCAUGUUAAUAUGAUGAAAAUUGUUGACAUGAACAAUAUUUGAAAUGUAAGAUAUUUAUGAUUUAGACUAGUUAACAAUGAAAUGAUGAAAAAGAGAAGGAUUAUAAGUUUUGAAACGUUACAAAAACGUUGGUUGAGUUAGGUCAUAUUUUGAAUAGUGUUGAAAGGAUGAUGUUUAAGAUUGAAUGCAUGCACACCCACCAUAUUUAUUUGAAGUGUGCCGGCCAAAGGCAUCAUCACAAAAACACAAAUUAAUUCUAUCAACACUUUGACUUUUUGACUCUCAUUAUAUACACCAAACUUCCCCACCUCAUGACUUCCUAAUGUUUAGUCUAUUUUUUCCAAUAGUGUGUUAUGGGGAUGAUCCAUUGCCCAUUAUGAACGAAGGGGUGAUUCCAAAUUCUCUCCAUAGUCCCACUUUUAUCAUACGACUUUCAAACGUGGAUCAAACUUUAGGUAUUUGUGUAAUGAUGUCAACCAUAUAUCGUGUCAUUUCAUUGAGGUUUUAAGUCUUAUUUGUAGUCGUUUGUCAAAAUUCUAGAAGCUUUUUUGUGACGGUAUUGUGUGAUUAUAUUAUAACAUCUAGAGGUAUAAUAAUUUGUGUUUGAAGUCAAGCAUAUAGAUACAUACACAAACAACUUCUCUAACUUCAUAAUAUUGGACAAAAGUAUAUAUCUAAAAGUGGUAUUUGCAAAGUAUAUAGAGAACAACCCACUAAUGAUACAAAAAGUAUUUUCAAAUUAGACGAUAAGAGUUCAAGAUGAAGGAAUCAUCAAAGUACGUUUAUCGAGAUCAAAAAACUUACGAUAUACUAAAAUAAUUUCUUAUAUAUAUAUAACAUGAGUGGAAAAUGUAUAAAUCGUUAGAAAAAUUUCUCAUUUUAUUCUCUAAUAUUAUGCAUAGUUUUUUGUUUUAAGCUUUGUGAAGACCCAUAAAAUGUAUUACAUAUACUUAAACACAUGGUUGGAUUGACAAAAAAAAAAAGAUGUUUUAAAUAAAUCAUUUUCAUCCAAACACUUUGUAUAACAACUUAGUUAUACUUAAUUACAUUCUUGAAGACAAAUUUGUUAAGUCUGACAUAAUCAAAGUGGAUGGUUGAUAUCUAUAGUUUCAAAAAGAAAAAUAAAUAGCAAAGAGAAAGUACUUGUGAAUUAAAUCAAAGCAAUGAGAAUGGUUAAUUAAGUAAACCAAUAUCCACAAAAGGUAAAAGACCAAGUUCAUUUCCCUUUCAAUGUUUACAAUAUUUUACACCCAAUUCUUUUAAUUUGAUAAAAAGGAAUUCAAAUGUCAAAAAGGAUAGUCAAGAAUAUUUUAGCUUUAAUGUUCCCUCAAGAUUAGGUAAGUUUGGCCAAAAGAUAUUGGAAGAGAGAGAGAGAGAGAGAGAUAUCCAAAGCCACAAAAAGACAAAUAAAUGAGCAAAAUACACAAACUAUUCAAAAUAAUAUUUUUUUAUUUUCUUCUUCUCUUUAAAAAUGAAGAAAAUGAACUUUGAACUUAAUCUUGUCGGCUUCUUCAAUACUUUAAUUUGAAAUUACAAUAUUAUUUCUUUUUAAAACAACUAUUAAUUAAUAAUCUUUUGUUAGAGACUUUUAUCUAAAGAAAAUAAAAUCUUUUAUUGGACUUUGUUACAUUCCUUACUUUGUACCCAACAAUUGUUUGAAGAUAAUAAACUAAUAGAAAUGUAAACAAAAAUUCUUACAUUGAUCCAAGAAAAAAGUGAUCGUGGAUAUAUAUAAGCAAUUAUUUGUAUUGAUAAGACUUCUACAUAUGGUCAUGAUUUGUGAAGUUGAAUGUAGGUAAGAAAAGGAAUGUAUAUAUAUAUUUCACAAGUUUUUUCCCUAGGUAGCCACUUUAGGUCAUUUUUAAAUGGGUACUAUUGGUAUAAAUUUUUAAGAUAUCGAUCCUUUAUUUUUUUAGUUUUAGUAUACAUUCAAGUUUUAAUUCCUUGAUCAAAGUGAGCUUAGUUUAACGGUAAUUGAUAUGACUUUCUAUUUUAGAGAUGUGAGACGUUCGAAUCUCUCAACCUUCAAUUGUUGUACUAAAAAAAGUUUCAAUUACUUGUAUAUAUUUCACCUCAAGCUUUAAUAAUUAUUUUUAUUCAUUUAGUAGUAAUUAAAACUUUAAAGGGAGAGAUUAUAAAAAGAAAAUUGAUAGGGAUUGAUUUAUUUUGAUGCAUUGUGAUAAAUUGAAUUAAUAUUUUUAUCGACGAAUUGUAAGUAACGCCCUCGAACAAAAUUUGUAGAUCCAACAACUGGCUCGAUUAUAGUCCCAUUUUGAAGUUAGGUUUCACGCAAUAACAUUUGCAUAUAUUCUAAUAUACUCCUCGUUGAAACUCAUGGAGAGAUAAUCAUUUUUACCUCAUGAUAUGCUCAUAUUUUCUUUGUCAACUCAUCAACGUGGAAUCCAUAUCUCUAUGCAUAUUGUAUAAUUAACUUACCAAUUAUACAUUUCAUUCUUCACACACACGCACACUAAAAAGAAAUCCAAUGUAAUUUUAUUUCCAUGCUACUAUUCUAGGCAACUUUUAAGUAGUUAGUCAAUACUUAAUUAGCGGUAAUUUGAUAUGAUCUUCCUUCUAUCUAUUGUACUAAAACGCAAACUUUUAGAUGGUUAAAAGUUGUUAAGUGUUUAUUGUGAAUUUUUUGGUCAAAUUUUGGUUGAAACAACACUUCAUAUAUUUUAUAUAUGUGUGUGAUCUAACUGUUGGGUUGGCCAUGCCCAUGCUCUAGAUGAACAUUAUUUAUAAUGAGCCCUCAGUCCAUGUAAUAUUCCUCCAAUUAAAUAUUAUAAACAUGAUGAGAAAAGGGAAAAUAAUAAUAAUCCAAGACAAAAUUAAAUGAGGUUUAAUAAUUAACUAAGAUUAUAUAUUGGAAAUUCAAAUAUCAUCUAAACUCAAAUACAUCUCAUCCAAAUAAGAAAGUUCACUUUCAUCAUCAUCAUCAUCUUCCUCAUAACAAAACAUACUUCUUCCAAUAAUAUUAUUGUUUUCUUUUGCUUCAAAUACUCUACAUACAACCCAUAUUCCAAACUCCUGUUCAAAUCACAACACAUACAAUCACCUUAAUAAAUCAACCCAACAAUAAUGUUUAAAUUAAAUAACCUAACAAUUCGAACAAUCUAGACUAUCCAAUCUAAAUUGUAUAGACUAGGUUAGGGUAACCCAAAAUUUAGAAAAUGUAACCAACAACUCACUCUAAUCUAACUCGAAUUUUAAAGAUUUGGUUCGAUUGGGUUGAAGAUACAAUCAUUUUGGGUUGCCAAUUUGGUCCAAAAACUUUCCAUAAUCCAACUCAAUCAACCCAUUUACCUUCACCUAAUUAAUCUCUAUACACAAUUAUAAAAUAUACCAUCAUUCAACCACUACUACAUAGUUUUAUGUUUUUCUCUAUUUAAUUUAAUUAUGCUCUUAGGAAAAUACAUACACUAGUUAAGUUUUUUUUCUUGAUAUGGAUUGUAUAGUUAUAUAAUCUUGUAUCUAUUCAGUAUUUGAACUUUUGGAUUACAAUUUAUGUGAACCUCCAACUUUAUCAAAUAGGUUAUUGAUUUUCUUUCAACUAUUUUUAUAAUUUACAUACCUUAGUGAUCGUAAAACAUUAAUAAAGCUUGAAGUCUAGAUUUGUUAUUAUUUUUAAAAAAUUUAAUAUGUCGUGAACUUAUUAAAUACAAAAUCUAAAGUUUAAAGACACAUUUAAUAUUUAGGAACCCUUUUACCAAACUUUAAAAGUUUAAGAGAUAAAUUUGUAAAUGAAUCUGCAUCCAAAUUAUCUAAAUACUUUUUUGGUUUUUUAAGCUUUUAAAUAUGAUUUUCAUUUUGGUCCUUAAAAUUUCUACUUCCGUUCCUAAGCUAUAAAUUUAGUUUUUAUUUGGUGAUAAUACUUAUCUAAAUUAAAAUUUAAAAAGUUACAUUUUGCCAUUGUGUUUGAGUUUUUAUUUCCAUUUAGUCUAUAAGCUUUAUAGUUUUAUACUUUUACUUAAGAUAGUAAAAAGACCAUAGUACCAAAACUAGUAAUUUCACAUAUAUUUUUUUAUUUAAUAAAAAAUUAAGUACUAAGUGCCAACUAGAAUGAACAUAUACUUCAUUUAGCAAAAAGUUUGUACUACAAAUUUCAAGAUUAGAACUUUAUUGAUUAUUCACUCCACGUAUUAUUUUUCUAGAAAAACACCCGCCAUACCAAUUACUUUGUCUGAUUUUGAGGGGAAAACAUGGUGAUCGAAUCUAUAACGAAAUGAAAAAGUGUAAAAUGAAAGAAAACGAAAAACGAGAAACAAGGAAAAAUAGUGAAAAUGUAAGAUUCUUGAGUUGUUUCACUUACUGAUUUUGUUUGUGAUAGAUUAUUGUUGUUGUUUUGAGAUGGAUGAGUAUGAUCAUGAGUGUUCAAAAGGUAGUUGUAAAUGUGAUACUCUUGCAUGACCCAACUUGUUUGAAUGGGUGUUGGUGAUUCAUCAUCUUCUUCUUGAUCACCAACAAAGAAAAUAUGAUAUUUUUUGAUACCCACUUCAUCCCCAUUGGCACCGCAAAAGAUUGGUUCAUCCAUUAAAACAUCUUUCCAAUAUCCACUCUCUGUUGCUCUACUUUCUCCCACUCUGCUGAAAAAGUAAUGAAUGUCCCCAUUUGACAGUGUUUUACCUGUGAAACACAAUAAAAUUUUAACUUUAAAAUAUGUGUUUUGGUUGUUUCAAUUUGGUUCAUAUAGAUACAAAAUUUAUAAAUAUAGAACUUUUACUUUUCACUUAGUAUUAUUGCUCUCGAAUUUGAAACUUAAAUGAAAACUAAAACAAAAACUCAAGAAACAAAAACAUUUUAAGUUCUAAUGAAGUCUACAAGUUUUAGAGAAGAUAAAACAAACUAGAAUCAAUAUUUACUUUAAAGGAAAACGUAAAAUAACACACACAUAUAUAUAUAAAUUUUAAAAGCAAGAUCUUAUGCUCUUCCAAUGCUCCUCAUCAAUCUAACUUAAAAGCUAGCUUGACUUCUUGUACCUACUGCAUGCAUAUAUAGCUAGCUAUAUUGUUCUUCGCAUAAUAAGAGAAAAGAUAGAGGGGGGGAGAGAGAGAGAGAGAGAGAGAUUAUGUAUAUAUUAUAUUAUACCAUGGAAUUGCCAAGGGUUAUAGAGAUGAAGCUGAAGAUGAGGAAUAAUAAUGGAAUUGGAAAAACGAUGAUGAGAGUUAGCUUUGUGAUAGAGAAAGUGAAGCACAAGGUCUUCAUCAGUUGGGCAGAAUCUAAGACCAGGAGGCAACAGAUUUAAGCUAUUAUUUCCACUUAUCCCACCUUCAUCCAUAUUAACAAACUCAAUCAUAAUAAUAUAAAUAACAAAUACACAAUAAUAGUAUUCUUUUCUUUUUUCUUUUUGAGGAGGUAACUAGGUUAAGGCCUAGUAGGUUUUAAUGGAGAAACUUUGCACCACAUUUGGCCUAUUUAUAUAUAGAAAUUAAAUGCAUAUAUGAAAUUAAAUUAAAUAUAUAUUUAAGAAGAGGAUAAUAUUAGUGCAUAUAUGUGUUUUGUUUCAUUGAUUUAAUAAAGGCAUUUUUUCCCAACACCAUGCUUCCUUGACCCACACUUUUGGAAUGAAAACAAAAUCAAAAGUAACUUUUUCUUUUGCUUUGUUUUUAUUGUAAAAGAGACACAAAAAGAAAAAUAAAGAAAACAGUAACUACUACUUUAUAUGGUCUACUAACACCAACUUGUGAUCAUAAACUUUAGGUUUAGCUUACAUUUAUAUUUUAUUUAUUAGGUAUAUGGUGCUAUAAGAUAAUGUUUAAGUUAAUGAUGGAAAAUUAUUUUCAACCAAAAGAUGAAAUUUUCAGUACUUUUUUGGGGGAGAAGUGACAAAGCAAUAGCAAUUAAAUGUUGUAAUUUUGUUUUAUUUAUAGAAGCAAUGAAUUAAUGGUAUUUAGUGAGAGUGAAAUGGUGUGGAUUGCAAAUGGAUGAAAUGAUAAAUGGGUAAUCAAUCAAAUCUGAACAUAGUGGGUGUCGUUGUUUGAUGAACUACUGCCUAAAUCAUUUUGUUUAAUCUAAUGCAUAAUUACGUUUAAAUUAUUCCCUCUCUUUGAUUAUUGACUUCACCAAUAUUUCUACCAAACAAAAAUAGAAGAUGAGAUGUAUUAAUCCACUAAAUGUUCCUUUGGAUUUUAAAGUCUCUAUCUAGUACAAUAAUAAUGACAAUUAUAUAUGUAGAGAGAAGAGUCACACCCUAACAAUUUAAUCGUGAAAGAAAUUAUUAACAUUUUGGGAUAGAUUUGAAUAAUGUUAAAUAUAAUCAUCAAUAUUGAUCCAAAAACUUAAGUUAAUAAGUGCACGUUCUAACGUUCAACAUUAUUAAUAUGAAUUCCUUAGGGUUGCUUGCUCAUGAACAUUUUGUAGUAAAGGAUCUUUCCAAAGAAAAAAAGAUUUGAGAGGUGUGAGAAUUGAUUAUAUAUUAAAGAUGAAAGACAAUUAUCAUAUAUUAAAAAUACUUAGAAUAUUGAUUGAUUUACAUAGUAAAGACAAGAUUAUCAAGGUAUUAAAACACUAAUAUAUACCUUCAAAAUUCCCAAUAAAUCAUACCAAUAUACACAAACAAACAGGAUGAAACGUUAGUUGACUCACCAAUUGAUCAAAAACUACUUUAAGUUUUUUUUAAAAAAAUAAGUAACAACAAAAAUAAAUAUAAAAAUUAGUAUAUUAUUAGAUUAAAAUACUUUGUGAAAGGGAUCUAAUAAUAAGUGGUGACAAAUAUAUUAUUUUAUGGAGUGAUGUAGAAUCAAAUCUAAUGAAGCCCUUAAAAUUAAUAAACACUCACGAGAUCGAUCAUUCAUUGUUUAUAAAAAAUACAUCAUCAUUGUUUAUAUGAAAGCAACUUCUUUCUAUUAUUUUUUAUUCUCCCAUCUCAUCAUUUUGUUGGAUGGGAUCUUAACACAUAUAUACAACAGAUUCUGCCAAUUAGAAUAUCUAUAUAGUUCUUUGAAAACAAAACAUAUAAUUCUAAUCCAAUAUAGUUGACAGACAAGUUUUACCACUCCAACACAAUUUUUUAUAUUAGAAACUUUGGUAACACUCUACUCCCUGUUAUGAUCACUUUCCUACAUAGGAGAAUAAACAUGUAUUUAUGCGUGCCAUUUAGUUGCAUUCAAAUUUUCUCGUGAUAGUUGUUCUUUAUUUUAGAAAUUCAAUUGUCCUAUACAUUGAAAUAGUUUAUAGAAAUGAUGGGUUUCAAUAUGCCUUUGGUUUCAAAUCAUCCUAAUUAGAAACACUUUUAUAAGUUUGAAUGUGCUAAUUAAUUCUUGUUAAAUUCUCUUUUGUAAUUUUAGUUUUGAGAGGUGAGAUUAAAAGGUGUGAGUAAUACUAAAGUUUUGAGAGAGUGUUCUUGUAAUUGAGAUUGGAAAAAGAACUAUUUAUAUUAUGUGUGAUAUAUUAUAACAAUUUUCACACGGUAAACUUCUUUUUAGUUAGUAGGUCAUGGUUUUUUUCUAGGUUAAGAGAUUUUCGUGUAAGCCUUGUGUUUUCUAUUAUUUUCUUUUAAUUUCUAUAUCAUCUUUCUACUUAUUUUGUCAAAGAGAUGAUAGAUUUUUUUUUUCUUCUAACAAUUGGUAUUUCAUAGCCUUAAAUUCAUAGUUUCUUGAAUGUUUGAGUAUACGUUUUAUAGUUACCGCACUAUUUAUAUACUUUCAUGUCACUAUUUAUAUACUUUCAUGUUAGAAAAUCGUAAACACUAAACAUUAAACGUAUUAUGAAUAUUGUGAAUUGGUUCACGCUACUUAUAAAUUAUUUAGAAGUGCAGCAAAUAUACGUUAAUUAGGUUUAUAAGGUGAAUAUGAAAUUUGUCAGUAUAGAAAUGAACUCAACUAAGGAGAACAACUUCAACUUGUACUGAUCAUAAUUGUAUUAUGAAUUAUACAUGAGAAUAAAGAGUGGUAAGUGCAUUGGCCUAAUAUUAUUAUGCAUGCUUUGGUUUAUCAAAAGCCAUAUCAUUACGUUACAACUCAUUAGGCUAUUCAAAAUGAUUCCCAUUUAUUGUUUUAGUUGAGAGGUCAUAUCUAAAAGCAUUUUGAAGGAAUAAUCUCAACCACAAAAGCGAAGCCACUUUUGUGCUUAUCCCAAUACAAAAGGAAAGAAAAACACUUUGCAAUUGCAAUUGAGUUGCAACCCAACUCUUUUCCCAAUAUUAUCUUAUUUAUUUAUUAUUAUUAAUUAGUUAAGUUUGAAUGCAACUUGUUUGUAGUUGCAAACAAAUACUAUAUUAUUUGGCAUUUGUUAUAUAUUUGUUUUGAUAAUCAUUUAAACUAUUAGAACACAGUUCUAUACAACUAAUAAGUGAUGAUCACCAUUAGACAUUUAGGAGAGAUUUGUAGUGCGAAAGUUUAAGAACCUAUAGUUUAAAAAUGGUAAUGUAUAGGAAAUCUACAAUUCUGGAGAUAACUAGACAUAGUAAAAAAUUUAAGAAUCUCUAGUUCCUUUACAAUUAUCAUGAUUAUAUGUAUAUCUAAUCAUCCAAAUUAGUUCUAGAGUAGUACUUAGCUUCAAUGUAUAACUAGUAUUAGUCCACGUGAUAUAGCAUUAGAUCAAUAGUUUAGUGCUUUUUCAAAGAAAUUAAAAAUGGUUGAUAAGAGACGAAUAAAUUGAUAGAUAAUCAUAACUAUUAAUUUUAUUUCUUGCUCCUUUUUUCUAACCACCACUCACUUUAAAAAUUGACAUAUGUUUCUUUUUCGAUAUAGACAAGGCAUUAUUAGUUCAAUCUAUAUAUUUAAGUUAGCAUGGUUUAUUCUUAACUCAAUCAUAUAAACAUGGAAAUAAUCUUUCACCCUAUACUUACCUAGAAAUUUAAUUCAUAUUAGUACCUAUAAUAUAGGUAUUUCAAAAUCAAUAAAGGGAAGAAUAAUGAAUUGAAAAUCCCAUCAUUAGUUCAUCUUGUUUUCAAUCCUUACAUAAAAUUGACACAAUAUCCUAGCAUGCAUUUAAUCUUUCUUAUUGAUUUUAAAAGUCUAAUUUAUUUUAUAACAUUUAUAAAAACUUUUAGACUUAAUCAAUCAUUUUAUCAAUAUAUAACCUUAUAAAAACAUUCAAUUAAUAUGGAUUUUAAUUUAUUUAACUUUAAUUAAAUCAUAUUUAAUUUUAAUUUAAUUAAAUCAUAUUUAAUUAAAUUAAAUCAAACAAUAACUAAUUAAUUUGAUUAAAUCAUAUUUAAUCAAGAAUAACUUAAUUAAUUAAUCAUAUUAAUUAAUUUCCAUAUUAAUCAAUUAACAUGCAUACAAUACAAUAUAACAUUUAUAUUAUACAUUUUAAUGCAUGAACAUGUUAACCUAUGGUGGGAUUUUAAAUCUAUAUGACAUUCAAAAUGCACAUACAAAUUUAAAGUAAUUUAAUCAUACAUCACAUGCAUAAAUAAAAAAACACCCUAAAAUGGACUGAUUUUUGGCUCCUAAAUUAAGUUAAGUACUAAAUUAUUACAUAAUUAAUUUGGUGUAGUACAGAACCACUCCCAAAAACUUCGAACCGGCUGAAAAACUAACCGAAACCCCUUGAACCGGCCCAAAAACCAAAUUUAUUGGCUUGAACCGGCCCAAUUAACUAAACAGGCCCAGGCGCACACGGGUCGGGCGCAGGCGGGCGCGGCGGGACAGGCAGGAGGGCGCGCGGCGCAGGAGGGCGCACGGGCGCAUGCGGGCGCGCGGCACAGGCGGGCGCGCGGGCACAGGCGGGCGCAGGAGGGGCGCGCGGCGCGUGGGACGCAGGCGGGUCGCGCAUCGGGUCAUGACCGGGUUUUCGGGUCUGUGACCUUCUUUUCUUCAUUUUUUUUCAAUUCUCUCACCCGGUUGAACCCGUUACAGCCUAACUUCAACUCUAAUGACUUUUUUAGUUUUUAAAAAAUUACAAACACUUUGCAACAAUAAAAAUAAGCCAUUAACAAGGCUAAUUACAAUAAUUAGAACAAAAACACUUAAUCUAGAGCCAAAUUCAUAAUAUAUCCAUUUUAGUUCAAACCAAAAUUUAUCUAAUAAAUAUGAACCCACCACAUACAAUUGGGUAAAAAUGAAGCAUGCUCUGAAACCACAUGUACCAACUUGAUCACCACAAGUCCCAACUUGAUCACCACAAGUCCCAACUUGAUCAUUGAUGGUACUUGUGGUGAUCAAUGAUCAAGUUGGGACUUGUGGUGAUCAAGUUGGGACUUGUGGUGAUCAAGUUGGGACAUGUGGUUUCAAAGCAUGCUUCAUUUUUACCCAAUUGCAUGUGGUGGGUUCAUAUUUAUUAGAUAAAUUUUGGUUUGAAAGUAAUGGAGAUAAAAUGGGAUUGGAAGGUUUCUUUUUUCUUUUGUUGAGAUGAUGAAAAUGAUAAAAGAGGCAAAAGUUCUUCAACAUUUGAAAACACCUCUAUUUAUAACCUAAUUACAUGCAAAAAUGCAUGUAAUUCAUUUGCCAAAUCUCAACACCUAAUGUUCCACUAACAAUUAGUGGGCUAGGUGUCUAUAUCUCAUAUAGCCACAUAUCCCACUAAGAGUUAGUGGGAUUAUCCAACAAAAUGUUGGAUUUUUCCACUAACUUAGUCCAAGGGUAAAAUGGUCAUUAGAUAUUUCUAGUCAAAAGUCAAACUUUGACUUUUCUAAGUCAAAAGUCAAUAUUUUGACUUUUUACCAUUUUGUCCGUCUUGACUAAUUCCAACCUCCCGAGCAUGAAUCCGCAUUCAUUUUUCCAAAAUUCAAAUCACAUUUGAAUAUAAGGCCGGUCAAAGUUUGACCUUUUCAAAGUCAAAAGUCAACAUUUUGACUUUUUACUAUUUUUGACCAAUUCCAUCAAUUCUGAGCUUCUUAGUAUGAAUCCGCAUUCAUACUUAUAGUAUGUAAAACAUAAAGCUCUAUUUCUAAUUAGAAGACCGACGACUAUAUCACUAUAUUUGUCGGUUUCCCUUUCUUCUCCCAAUUCGAAACAAUUCGAGCUUAUUUCAUCACACUGUUCUAAGUUUAAUCCAUAUGAGCUAGCAGAGGAACCUAAUGGACCUAUAGAUCAUGGGCUCCAACGAUUCAAGAUUAACUAGCUAAACUCUUUUAAACCGAGUUAAUCAACAUUCGUUAACUAACGGGUCAUUCCACUAAAGUCCCGUAGUUGCACUCCCCUCACUAUAGAUAUAUUUGUGUCCAUUUGAUAAAACCAUAAUCAGUAAGUUAAUCCUUCACAGGUUGCUCGUAACCUUGGCUGGGUCAAAAUACCGUUUUACCCCCAAGAUUACAUCUUGCUCCUUAAGUCCCACUAAUCCACUAUUGAACAAUUGGUUUAAGGUUCAACCUAUAAACUUAAUCCCUCUCGGGCCAAUGAGAGGGUGGGGCCCCUUGUUCAAGACUUGGAUUCAGUGCUUAAGAGAGCAACCUAUCUACUAACCCUAAAGCGGGUAGGAGUGAAUUCCAUCUUGUACCCUAUGUUCCCAGCUAUCCACCGAUCUUACCCCUGAAAUGGGAGGCUUAUUGGGCCAACGCUGAUGAGCUGCCCUCACCUAUGCAGAUCUAAGGAUAAUCUCGUGUGAACAGGAGUUCAUAGUUAACUCAGGAUUAAGACUAAGUUACCUAGGUCAUCAAUAAUUGAGAUAGUCAGUUUUAAACAGUAAACGGUGUUAUAACGUAAAAAUGACUAAUUCAUGGUUCAGUCUUAUGUAAACAUUUUACAUAGGAUGCCCCCACUUUCAUGUCUCUACAUGAACGAUUAGGAUCACCUCGUUUGUACUACAAAGUGGGCCGCAUCCAUAGUUUCUCUAAAUAAGGCGCCCAACCUUUAUUUCAUAUACUAUAGACUAUUUAGGCUAUAUACUCGAACUUGAUCCACGUUUAUGUUUACACAUAAAGUUCAAGUUUAUUCAAAAAAUAGCCUUGGAACUUGAUUUAUUGGAUUUAAGAUUAUAAUAUUUAAUUUCUCAAUAACAACUUUAUUGAACAGAAUAUGAUUUACAAACUACGAGUUUUAGGACAAAAAAUUCCAACACUAAAGAGGUGCAAGAUAAAAAUAAAACAAUUAAACCCUUCAAAAACAAGUUUUGGGAUAAAAAAAAUGAGUAUGUGGCAUCACUGGUCACUUUUUGUGGAAAUUUUUUUCAAUAUUAUUCAAAAUGAGACUAUCUAGUAGUCAGAUUUGAAUUUUCGAUACUUUUCACAUUGUUCUAAAUUGGGUCGUUUCUUUGUAAGCUAUAGCAUGGACAUUUUUAGAACCGUUUUGGGUGCUACCAUAAUACAUCACUAAGGAGCACCAGUCUCGACCAUUAUGCAAUUUUCUGUGUCAUAGAGUAAUGCAAAAGAUAGGAUGUCGCACUUAUCAACCCACAAUCAUUGAGUUAAAGAGGUGCAAGAUAAAAACAAAAAAAAAAAUUAAAAUAAACGCUUCGAAGACAAGUUUUGGGACAAAAAUAAAACAUGAGUCUUAGAGCAUCAUGGAUCAGGUUUUAGUUUUUGUGGGGAAAAAAACUUUAAUAUUACUCAAAAUGACACAAUCUAGUAGUUAGAUGUGAAUUUUCGAAACUUUUUAACAUUGUUCUAAAUUGGGUCGAUCCCAAUUAAUUUUCUACUUUGUAACAAUGUUUCAUUUAUGUCAAUGGUUAGGUUGGAACAAGAUAUAAGCGUUAGGUAUGAAAACGGGUCAUGUUUGUUUAUUUUUCUAGAAAAAAAAAAUUGACAUAAUCCAACUCAAAUUUGGUUUCACAAAGAAGUUGUUCGACUUGACUCGGAAAAAAAUUAGAAACAAAGAGGAAGACCUUGAACAACCUAAAUUUGAUAGAAUUUAGGUAAUGAAAAUGAUUUGAAGAUCCAUGAAUGUGAAGGGCAGCUCAAUUAGAUAUGAAGUACAUAAUGAUCAUGUUGAUUAUUAUUGCAUGCAUUUAGGUUUGAAAACCAUGAAGUAUUGAGAAAACAUAAAAGUGAAAUUCAAAGUUUAAUUUGGAUGAUUGGAUGUUUUUGUUGAAUAUGAUUUGGGAUAGACACUAUUUUUCCACCUCUCUUAAUUCAUCAUUCGCCAAAUGGCUACACAAUUAUAUACAUCCAAUAUAUAAGAGAUAUAUAAUGAUGAACAAUGUUUCAACUUUAAUUAAAGUGAUGGAAUCAUGGAAAUAUAUGUAAGAACGAUGAGUUCGCAUGCCAAAUUGCCAUAAACCACUCCAUCUUCAUUGAUUUCAUAAGUUAUAUGAUAACCUUUUCUUUUUCUGUUUUUCAUUUUUUACUAUAGAUUUUUUAAAUUAUUAAUUUCAUUUUUCGUUUUCAAUUUUUGAAAAGAAUAAACAUUAGUAAGAUUGAAGAUAAACCCAAAUAAACAUUGGCCCAACAUAAGAUAAAACCCCAUUAUUAGCAAAAUGGGCUCAUAUGGGCUGUAAGCUUAUAAGGGUAACUACCCACGUGGGUCAUGUCUAUCGUGCGGUCAGCCGUCAACUCCAUAAUGGGUUGGAAUCUUUUUGGAUCUGGGCUAAUUGGGCCAAUUGGGUUUGCUCCAUUUAUCUUUAAAGCUAUGUUUGCUCCAUUUGAGUCUUGCACUCAUCCGUAUAACUCCAAAAGGCACUUGAGGCUUCUAAAGCUAGCUAGAUUUUCUCUAUCAAUAAACAAACUUGAAGACAAAGUUAGUAAAUUGGAUUAAGUGAUUUUAGUUUCAUUAGAGUGACCUAAAGUAAAAAAGUAGGAGAUGAGAUCUUCUGGUUUAGGGAUACACAGAGUCGUCCUAAGAUUGAUUUUGUGGAGUGAGUGGGCAUCCCAUUGGGUUUAACCAAACAACAUCUAGAGAUGUGAGAAAGGGUUGAAAUAGUUGGAUGGAAGAAAGAGAGAUGAAUGGAAAGGAAGUAAGUAUUCACGGGGUAACAAAAGUUUGAUAUUAUUAAAAAAGAAAAAGAAAACAAAGAGUUGAAAACAUGGAAAUGAGUUGUAAGGAAGGAGUGAUGGAAAAGUUUGGUUGGGUACCCAUUGACCACAAAACAAUGGUUCACGGGUGCCUUUACACUCUCUCACUACAUCCUUUUUUUAAUCACACAUUCCAACAAACACUAAGGCCAUUUUUCUUUUAACAAACAUAUACAAUUUACAUUAUUGAUAUCUUUUCAAUAUUUAACACAAUAUUAUAUAUAUAUAUAUAUGAAAAUUUGUAUGGAUGAAAAAUGAAUCAUAACGAAAUCAAUUUAUUUAACUAUUUUAAAAAAAACAUUAAUUUCAAAUAAAAACAAAGGAAAGAAAAUUGAUGUAUAAUUUCCACACAUAAAUAGUUUUAGGGCAAAGGACAAAAUAGAAAUAGGUAACUUUUGAGGACAACCAAGCAAUUUUUGAAAAAGUGAAGAAGAGCUGAAUCUUCUCUUUUGCUCUCAUCCACAAAAAAGAUUUGCCCAUUUUUUUCAUCUAUUUUUCCUUCAAUUUUAACCUUUUGUUUGAAUAGGAAUUAAUUCUCCACCACACAAAAUAAUGAAAAGCUCAUAAAUCCAAAUGCCUUUCUUACAAAAAUAUAAUAACACUAAUCACCCUUCAAUUUUUGUGGUCCACUAGUUUUGCAUGUAAAUCCAAAUCUUUGGACCCAUGGGGUGGAAAAAUUGAAUAAAUAUCUAAAUUUUUAACAUACUUUAUACUAAAUAUCAAUUCAUACAAAAAUAGAUUAUAAAUGUAAAGGAGUACUGUAUAGAAUAGAGAAACACCUCAAAUUAACUACAUAAUUUUAAUUAACAUUUAAGUUAACUAUACAUUAUUGUUUACUACAUGUAACAUUAAUACAUAAUAGAGAGAAAGUUUACCAAAAGAAUGUAAAUUGAACUUAUGGGUUCACUUGCAUGGUAAAAUUAGUAGUUACAAAGUAAAAAUGUUAUUAUUAUCAUCCCUAUUAAUAAACCUUUCUUGUUGGCUAAAAUAAUAACAAAGACAUGAUUGAGUAUUAAUUUAGGAAACCACAUAAUAAAAGUGCUAAGAAAUAGAAGGGAUAUGUUAUAUUACUUUAUAGUAUUGAAUCAAUUAUAAAGGUGAAUGACAAAAAAUAAUGGAGUUAGAUUAGAGUAAUGUAUGGUCAUAUGUACUUAAUAAUUAAUUAUUCUUUUACAUUAUGUCAUGUUUUUAUUUAUUUAUUUAUUUUUUUUUGGUCCAAUUCAUCUAAUUAUCAAUACAUUAAACUUAAUUAUUCAAGUUCCUUUUGACAUUAAAACUCAUCAUUUUAACUCUAUGAAAGGAUUUGGAUGAAAUGUGCAGUUGUAAGAUUCCUUACCAUAUCAAUUAGCUAUUUGUAUUUUUAAUUUGAUAGGAUGAUGUAAUUAUCAUUCUACUACAUAAUAAUACAAUUGAAUGAAGAUUGAUACAAACAAAAAGUAGUUGCAAAUAUAGCAAUCAAACCUAAACAAUAACUCAUCAUCUUUCAGUCUCUAAUAAGUUUGAAGUAGUAAGAAAAAAGAAAAGAAAUGAAAUGAAAAAACAAAACACUAAGAAUAAUUAUAUUUAAAGAAGAGAUAGAAUGCCAAUGUUGGCAUAUUGAGAGAGAGAGAGAGAAUGAGAAUGUGAAGAAAACAGUGUGUGUGUGUGUGUGUGUUUAAGGGCUUAGAAAGAAAGCAGUGAGCUGAGUUAGUAAGAAAAACCCAAAUCAGAAGAAGAUAACUGAAAUGAAGAAGCAAGAAGAAGAACAACAUCAAGAACAAGAAGGAUGCGACAUUGAAGCCAUAGGAAUCACCUACAAGAUUCAAAUCCAUAACUCCAAAUCCCCAUUUCUCAACUUCUUCUCCACCUCAAAACCCUCCCUCCGCCAUCGCCAUGUCCUUUCCGACGUCAAUUGCCAAGCCAAAUCCUCCCAAAUCCUUGCCAUUGUCGGCCCCAGCGGUGCCGGAAAAUCCACUCUCCUCCAAAUCCUCGCCGGCAAAACCACCCCUCACGGCGGCUCCCUCCUUCUCAACCACCUCGCCGUCGACCCUUCCUAUAUCAACCGAAUCUCCGGCUACGUCCCUCAAAAAGACUCCCUUUUCCCUCUCCUCACUGUCGAAGAAACUCUGACCUUCACCGCCCGCCUCCGUCUCUCCCUCCCUUCUGCCGUCCUCACCGCCAAGGUUACUUCUCUGAUCGACGAACUCGGUCUGACCCAUGUCGCCCGUUCCCGAGUCGGCGACGACCGAGUCCGUGGAAUCUCUGGCGGCGAGCGGCGGCGGGUUUCAAUCGGCGUGGAAGUGAUUCACGACCCCAAAGUUCUUAUUCUUGACGAACCCACUUCCGGUCUCGACAGCACUUCCGCUUUUCAGAUCAUCGACAUGCUGAAAACAACCAUGGCUGAAGCUCAGCGAAGAACCAUCAUUCUUAGCAUCCAUCAACCUGGAUUCAGAAUCGUGAAGCUUUUCGAUUCCAUUCUUCUUCUUUCCAAUGGCUCUGUUUUACACCAUGGCUCUGUCGAACAUCUCGGACUCAACCUCACUCUAAUCGGCCUUCAACCUCCUCUUCAUCUCAACAUUCUCGAAUUCGCCAUUGAAUCCAUCGAAACAAUCCAACAAACCCCAAAUCAAACCCAAUUGUUAAUCCCUCACUCCCAAUUAAAACCCCCUAAAUUCACCCUGCAACAGCUAUUUCAACAAUCCAAAGUCAUCGACGAGGACACCAUCAAAAUCGGAAUCCACAAAUCAAUCCCUCACCAUUUCGCCAAUUCCCCAUUCAAAGAAACGGCCAUCCUCAUGCACAGAUUCUCCAAGAACAUAAUCAGAACAAAGGAGCUUUUCGGUUGCAGAACAGUACAAAUGUUGGUAACAGGGCUUGUUCUUGGUUCAAUUUUCUACAAUCUCAAAUUCGAUUUAAUUGGUGCUGAAGAACGCGUGGGGUUAUUCGCCUUCAUUCUCACAUUCCUAUUAACAACCUCGAUCGAAGCCCUCCCAAUUUUCUUACAAGAAAGAGAGAUUCUAAUGAAAGAAACCUCCUCAGGUAGUUACAGAGUAUCCUCAUACGCCAUAGCCAACGGAUUAGUAUACCUUCCGUUUCUACUAAUCUUAGCAAUUCUGUUCUCAAUUCCAUUAUACUGGCUAGUGGGGCUUAACAGAAACAUAAUAGCGUUUCUUCAUUUCAUGCUGUUGAUAUGGCUGAUUCUAUACACAGCAAAUUCAGUGGUGGUUUGUUUCAGUGCAUUAGUGCCAAAUUUCAUAGUGGGGAACUCAGUGAUAUCGGGGGUAAUGGGUUCGUUCUUCCUGUUCUCGGGGUAUUUCAUAUCGAACCAGGAAAUACCAAAGUAUUGGAUAUUUAUGCAUUACAUAUCAGUGUUUAAGUACCCAUUUGAAGGGUUUUUGAUAAAUGAGUUUUCGAGAUCAGGGAAGUGUUUGGAAAUGAUGUUUGGGGAAUGUGUAGUGAGAGGAGAGGAUGUGCUGAAGGAAGAAGGAUACGGGGAAGAAAGUAGGUGGAGAAAUGUAAUGGUAAUGGUGGGGUUUGUUUUGAUCUAUAGAUUUGUUUCUUAUGUUAUUCUUAGAUGUCGAUGCUGCAGGAAAACUGGUUUUGUUUAACAGAAAUGAAGAAGAACGAAGAUGAAGAAGAUGAAGAAGAUUGAAGAUCGAAGAAGAAGAAUAAGGACAAAAAAAAAUCUCUCUCUUCACGAGUUUGGAUUUGAAAGAUGCUCUUAGUUCACGUGGUAGUUUUAAUUGUAGCCAAAGGUUAUACUCACACGUGUUUCUUUGUUCUUUCGGAUUUUUAUUUUUAUUUUUUGCCCUUUCUCUCUAACUAUAUAUAUAUAUAUAAUAUAUGUAAAAUUUUCUUUUAAAUUAACAAUUUGGUGUGUGGUUUGUUCAUCUAAGUUCAAAUUUAUUCAACCAAUUAUUUAGUAGAGAAAAGCUUAAAUGGUGAAAGUGAUUUUAAGUAAUCAAAAUUUCUUCUUACAAAAAUUGUGAAGUAUCAUGAAUAUUUCUUUUACAUAAUUCUUUUCUUCGGUAAAAGAUAAGUUCAGGUUAAACAAAACUAUUUUUUUAUUUAUUUGCCAAAUAUGAUAUUUAACAUAUUAUUACUUAUGAAACACAAAUAAAAGAAAGAAAGAAAAAAAGAUCUGUAAACAUAGAUUCAGAAAUCCAUAUUAAUAGAGAUAAAUCGUGUUAAUACCAUUAAAACAUACAUGCUUUGAAAGAACUAAUUUCAAAUGUUAGUUGUUUUAGGAAAAGAACAAGCAAAACCGAGAACAAUGACUAAGCAAACAAAACGUAGAUCCAAUCACAACUUUCAUAUAUGCGUGAGUAGUGUCACCUCAUUUCAACAACAAUCAUGGUUCAAGAUUUGAUUUAACUAACAAUUCUAUUCAUCACUCCCUAACUAUAGAAUCACCAAUUCAAUCAAUUAUAUCACCAUCAAAGAAAGAAAAAAAAUGGUAAAAAGUAUUUUUAUUUUUGAAUAAUUGAAAUGCUCCAUAGUUUUCAACCUUUAAUAGUUUAUUUAACAAAAAUUGUAAAACAUAGAAAUAUAUUCUAAAUAAAAUAAACGACAUAUAUCUCACAACUCCACCUUAACAAAUUUAACACUUGAAAAUAAACAUCAUGAAUGAAGACUAAAAAUCCAAACUUUCAAAAUUAAUAAAAAAAAUUCUCAAAUUUGAAUGAUUUUUAGAAAAGCUCUACAAAUAGUGUCUCUUCCCAAACUCGGUUAUUCCAAUUCUUUUUCUUUACCGUUAUUUUCCCCCUUCUUCAUCAAUAAUUUAUAAAACACUCUCCCAAAUUCCAUCCCCACCCCAUCCCUUCUUCUAUAAAACAAUGGACAAACACACGGUAACCUCCGAUGAACUUCUCGGAAUCAAAAUCUACACCGAAGAACACGCCAACGGCGGUGGGCGGAAAAGACGAGCAAUGGCAAAAGGAAUGCAAAAAACACGCUCAAAAACCUCAAUGCUAGCUAGUAAACUUCCUUCCAACCGGCACUCUCCUAACCUUCGAAAUGCUUCUGCCGUCGGUCUCCGGCAAGGGGGAGUGCACGCGGGUGAACACGAUGAUGAUAUAUAAACUUCCUCUUGGGCUUAUGCGCUUCUAUCCUGUUUCUUGUUUCACUUCACAGACAGUUUCAAAUUAGGCGUGGACGGGAAAGUUUAUUACGGGAUCGUGACGCGGAGAGGGCUGGCGGUGUUCAAGACGGGGUUGAGUGAGGUGGAAGUGGCGAAGGAGGAGAGGUUAUGGAAAGCUUUCCUUUGAUGGUGGGAAGCAUUUGUAGUGCUUUGUUUUUGGUGUUUCCUAAUACUAUAUAUUAUAUGGUAUUGGUUGUAUGGCUAAUUGACUCUAUUACCCCCCACCUUUUUUUUCUUUUUCUUAAUUGUUAGGAUUUUUUUAAUAAUUAUUAUUCUAAUUUUACUAAACUAUAAUCACCAAUUCAAUCAAUUAUAUCUAUAAAAGAAGAAAAAAAUUGGUUAUAUCUAUAAAAGAAGAAAAAAAAUUGGUUGUAUGGUCGUGUAUGUUGCCAUGGCCUUUGUUAAUUCUUCGAAACUAGAAAGAACAAAGAUCUCACAUAUUCAUACAGGUGGAAAAGAUAGAAACAUGCAUCGUUUUGAUUGAAACUUCUUUUAUUGAUAGAGGACGAAAAAACAAAUACAAGUAGUCAUACACCUAAAAAACGAUCAUCCAAAUCAAAAGAUAUGACCUAGAAACUAUCCAUUUCUCAUGUGUCGUCAAAUUUUGCCUAAUUGCUUCUUAGAGAUAGUUUGUUUUAGCUCCAUUUUCGUCCUUACACUCAAUUGUGCUUCUUUGAUGCUUAAAACCAGUAAAAUAAUCAAACAUAAUAAGAACCUAGAAUUAAGUGAAGCUAGAUAACAUAUUUAUGGUGCUAUCAUUUAUUUACCAUUUCACACUAUAAUUUUAUUAUUUCUAGUUUAUCUUACCAAGCCAGUGUCAAUUUUCUUUUCUCAUUCUCAAUGUUCUUUUAUUUGCUUCAAAAAUUCAAUUUGAAAAAAAAAAAUGUGAGAAAGUUGAGAAUUGAAGAGGAAAAAAAAGAACAAAAUUAGUUUUUUUUUUUGUUUAUUUGAUUAAUUAAUUCAAGAAUGUUGAUUAUGUUUGAGUAUUGACAUGAAAUAUUUAUCGAAAAAUUAGGAAGAAUUUUCAUCAUUUGUUGAAAUCAAAGUAAGGCUCUCUCUAAAAGUGCUUGUAAAAUUUGGUAACAAAAUAGGGUUUAAACCAAAAGAUUAUAAAAGAAGAAAAAAUAAUAAUUACUAAUAAUUAAUUAACAUUGUUGGGGCAGCCCAAAGAACGGUUGUGACCUCCAUUGCAGAAACAGAAGAACAAAGCUCAUUUGGUUGUAAAACCAAUAGAACGAAUCGAAAGCCUCCCUUGAGAGUUAUACAGUUGAAAAUGGAGCUUCAAGAUUUUGCGCCAAUUUUUGGUAAACCCACCAGAGUGGAGUGGGUAAACAGGGGUUCACUUUCUUUGCUCCAAUUUUUGUUCCAUGUUUAUUCUCCAAAUCCUUCGCACCUCAGAUUUCUUGUUACUGAUUUUCAUUCUAACACUUGGGAAUCCACCAAAUCAGCUUUCCAGCUUGAGGAUAUGGUGGGCAUCUUUGAUUUCUCCCUGUACGUCGUCUCUUUGUUGCAUCCUUCUUCUUUGAUUUCUAUUAAUAUGUUGUUCUUGCUUCUUUUUUUCCUCUUAGCAAAUGAUGAAAUGGGAUUGUUUUUUAGAAUUUGUUGGUGCGAAAAGCUCUACUAUUUUAUGUAAUCUUUGAUACAGAGAGAUGACAUUGGAAUUGGAGGGGCUUUUUCAGAGUUUGUUGAUUAUAUUGUUGCAUCUAUGAAAUUUGGAGAUGUAAGGCUUUGUAUGGAAGGACAAUCGGGGAAAGAUGGUAAUCUUCCUGAUAUGUAACUAAUUCAAAUUCUCUUUCCCAUUCAAUAUAUUGUGAAACUCACUCCUUUUUUUAUUAUUCUACAGGUGCAGCAUCUGUCAAACUAAUUGCUCAGAAAUCAAAGGGAAUGCCUGUAUUUUCCAUUUCUCUCACAAAACUUGUUGACUCUGCUGCUGCUGAAGCUAUGGCAACUAUGUCCUUGGGGCUUUUUAACUCAUUAAAAGAAAAGGAGUGUUCACUUAUGAAAGGUUUUCAUCGCUUAUCUAUAGACUGCCUAUAUUCUGUGCUAUAGUCAUCAAAUAUGUCGAUAUCGUUUGGUUAGAAAAAAAAAGAAUACAUUUUUAUAGUGUUUGAACAGAAGGAAAGAUGUUGGAGGUUCUUAUGAAAUAUAGUGAUCGGGUGGGCUCAGUGUGUGGAUCAUUCUAAUUAGAUGGAAGGAUAGGCAUCUUUAGUUUCUUUUCCCUUUUUGUUCCAUCUAGAUUUUGGUAUUUGGCUUUCAUUUCUCUCAAAUAACUUCUCACAGCAUUCUACAAAAUUGUUUGGUAUUUUGUUAAGGCCUUAGCCACAAUUUUAUUUAUCAACUAUGGGGAAGGAUUUGAGAGUUCCCCAAUCUCUCCACACUACUCUAAUGAGAGUCUAUACCAAAAUCAUUUAGCCAAAAAGAUACCCACCCCCAACAUUCACAAUACCUAAAUAGGCAAACUCUAAGAAAGCUAACAGAAUACUUGGCCCCACUUUAACAGUCAUACUCCUAAGGGCCCACCUUACGGGAAAUUACUAACUAACUCUCAAUCAUUCUUUCUUCUUCCCACUUUUAUUCCUAUGUGAAUACACCUUUACUAUGGGGGGUCUAUCAAAUUUGUAUCUGAACAUUGGCAUGUUGCAUUUUUUGUUAUGAAUUAUGCAUAUACAAAAUAAUUGUCUUAUAUUCAAAUGGAUAUAUUAGAAUGUGUCAACUCUCCGGUGUGUCUGUGAACUUUAAGAAUACCUAAUUUUGGUUCCAUUCGUAUGUGAUGGGCCAAUCCAGUCAAGCUGAUUUGAAGUAGGGAAAUAAACACAGUACUCUCAAUCAAAUCUGUCUUGGGAAGCUGUUUCUUUUUAGUCUCCCAUUGGUGUGGUUUUGUAGGACUGACUCAAAUAUCAUGUGCGAACUGCUUGAAAAUGUUUGUACUUGAAAAUUACUUUGUUUAGACUUUAGGGUACCGUGUUUAUUGAACAACAAACUACGUGAUGUACAUGGUUUUAGUUUUUCUUUCUUUAUUAUUAUUAUUUUUUUUUGGUAACUGUGAUAGCAUAGUUUGAUGUAAUAUUCAUUUAUAGGUUAAAUUUAGAACAAGAUUUUUCUCAGAAAUGUUCAAUUUUUUGCAUGCUUGCAUUGAAACUUAGCAUCUGUAGCAUUGACUUUUCUCCUAUACUGUUCUUUCAGAACAAGAGCACUCCCUUCAGUUGACAACCAUGAUAUCAACUGAAAAGGUAUAUCCAUCUUCGUCUUGCACCACUGUAAAUAAAUAUGAUACAUGGUGAUGGGCACUUUUAGUUUUAUACUUAUCGAUAGACUUCAUUAAUAAAUACAUUUAAUAAUACACAAUAUAACGAUAACAAGAUUUCUUCUGAUUUCUUCUCUUCCACAGCCUCUCUUAUAUAUCAGAACUCAAACAGUUUACUCUAGUCAAUACUGUUCCCUGUUAUUAGUCUGCAUAUGUUUUGUUAAUUUUUACUUCCUUUGAAACUUUAUUUAUUAAAUGUUAAUAAGAAAAAAGAUUAAAAAUUAAAAAUGAAGAACACGGAUGUUCUUUAUGUCUCACUUAUUCUUUCAUUAUAUAUGACCUCAUGUAACUUUGUUAGCCAUUUCUUGGUUGAAAAACAUUUUCCAUUACAAUACCAAUUGCUUCCUUAUCCCCUAUGGAUUCAACUCAUGGGUCUUUGAGUUUCUCUAUUUUUGUAUUAAACAUUUCUUAUUUGAGAUUAUACUUUUUGUUGAUGUCAGGAAAAGAACGAAAAUAUCCAAACUCAGCUCGGGCAAUAUAGAAAGAAACAGAAGUUACAAAAUAUGAAUGCCUCAAAUUCUCCUGGUAUGUUCCUAUAAUCAAUCCAUUUAAGGUAUUAUGAAAUUAUAUGUUAUGUACUAAAGGACUGAUCGAUUUUUUCCGUUCUUCACAGAUAAAUCUGGCGUACAUAAUAUUGGCUUGACAAAAGCCACCAAUCGUGUGGUGCCAGUACACCGGAGGUCGGUUUCUCAAAGUUACAUUCAUCACAUAAUUCAAUUGAUUUAUUCCCAAUACUAAUAGAUGUACUUAGCAUUGUAUUUGAACAGGGCGAAAGCUAGGGGUGCCCUUCUGCAAGACUCUGAAGAUGACAAUGGUAGGUAGAGAAGUUGAAUGUCUUGUAUCCAAUCUAGUUUUGUACAGAAUUUUGAUUUCUGAAAAGCUGCUCUAGCCAAUCACUCUCUUCCCUUUGAAUGGAGAAAAAAAAUCCCGUGGUAUUGAGUUCCUCAAUGGUUUGCUUAAAAAGGAACAGGAAAUCCUUGUUUAGGGUCAAGAGGCUAUCUCCCUGUCGUUAUCCCAAAGCUUUAAAACUUUUGUUUCUUCCAUGCAAGUUUUACUUUCUAGCACAUCCACGUUAAAUGAUCUCAUUUUUUCAUAUAUUUUCUUUUAAUCUACACUAAUAGAGAUGUUCCUUCCAUUUUUUUCCCAUUUUUUCUUACAGAAAAAGAGCGCUCCCUUCAGUCGACAUUCGAGGAAAAGGUAUAUUCAGUCUCCUGUCCCCUUUAUGAAUAAAGCACUUUGUCCUUUUAUAGACGGGUUCUUAUUGUCUUGAAAUACCUCAAAAUUAGUACAAGUAUGACCAUAGUCGUGGUGUAUUUUUGGUGCCUUCGGAGCGUAUUUUCAUCUUGCUCAUUAAUUGUUUGUAAAUUUUUUAAUCUACUUUUGAAUAUGUCAGGAAAAGAAAGAGGGGUUGCUAAAUACAGAUACCUUGGCCAUUGUAGACAAUCUUCAUAAGCCUCCUAGUAUGUUUUUUAUGGUUCCCUCUAAAAUUUAAGCUUAUUUGUUUUUAUUGAAAAGAGAGACAACGAGUUCACACCAAUUUACGUGGAAACUCGAGUACCGGGAGAAAAACCACGAUUGUUUGUUGUUAUUAUUUUCUAAUGAAUAAAACAAUAGGUACAGGGAGAAUAAAUAGAGUACACAAUGGAAUAAAAAAGGAAAAGAUUUAGGAAAAUAAGGAAUACAUUCCCAUAAUCUUUCCAUAAUUAUUCUAGGAUUCUAACAAGGAAAAAGCCUAGAAAAAAAGGAAAGAAUUCCAACACUCCCCCUCAAGUUGGGACGUAAAUAUCAAUGAGGCCCAACUUGCUAACGCAAAGUCGAAGUUUGGUCUGAGAAGCCCUUUGGUAAGAACAUCAGCAACCUGUUGACUCGAAGGGAUGUACGGAAUGCAUAUGCUCCCACUGUCAAGUUUUUCUUUGAUAAAAUGUCGAUCAAUCUCAACAUGUUUAGUUCUAUCAUGUUGAACAGGGUUGUUAGCAAUACUAAUAGCGGCUUUAUUAUCACAGAAAAGCUUCAAUGGUGUCUCACAUUCCUGAUGAAGAUCUGUCAAAACUUUCUGAAGCCAAAUUUCCUCACAUAUUCCUAAACUCAUAGCUCUGUAUUCAGCCUCAGCGCUGCUCCUGGCCACAACACUUUGCUUCUUACUCCUCCAAGUUACAAGAUUGCCCCAAACAAAGGUACAAUAACCAGAGGUAGAUUUUCUGUCAACAACAGAUCCUGCCCAAUCCGAGUCAGUGUAUGCCUCAAUGGUCUUUCUGUCUGUUUUUCUAAACAUCAGCCCUUUACCAGGUGUUGAUUUUAAGUAUCUCAAGAUUCUGUUGACAGCUUUCAUGUGUUCCUCAUUAGGGGUCUGCAUAAACUGGCUGACAACACUCACAGCAAAGGAAAUAUCAGGACGAGUAUGAGAUAAGUAAAUUAAUUUACCCACGAGGCGUUGAUACUGUUCUUUAUCAACUGGAACUUGAUCAUCAGAGUUUCCUAGUUUGCAGUUGAAUUCAAUAGGAGUGUCAGUGGGACGACAUCCUAACAUACCUGUCUCGGUUAACAAAUCAAGGAUGUAUUUUCUUUGAGAUACGGAGAUACCUUCUUUAGAUCUGGCCACCUCCAUUCCAAGGAAAUAUUUCAAAUUUCCCAAAUCCUUGAUUUCAAACUCAUCGCCCAUUCUCUGCUUUAGUUGACUGAUUUCUGCCUGAUCAUCUCCAGUCAAAACAAUGUCAUCCACAUAAACUAUUAGAACAGCAAUCUUUCCUGUUUUGGAAACCUUUGUAAAUAAAGUAUGAUCAGAGUGUCCCUGCCUGUACCCUUGGGACUUGACAAAGGUAGUGAAUCUGUCAAACCAUGCUCUGGGAGACUGUUUCAGACCAUAUAUAGAUUUCUGGAGUUUACACACAUGCUGACCAAACUGGGCUUCAAAUCCAGGCGGAGGGCUCAUGUAGACUUCCUCUACGAGGUCUCCAUUCAAAAAGGCAUUCUUAACAUCCAGCUGAUAUAAAGGCCAAUCUUUGUUCACAGCAACAGAUAACAGAACUCUAAUAGUAUUCAACUUAGCAACUGGAGAAAAAGUUUCUGAAUAGUCAAUACCAUAGGUUUGAGUAAAUCCCUUCGCAACUAACCUUGCCUUGUGUCUGUCAAGAGUACCAUCAGCUUUGUAUUUGAGAGAGAACACCCAUUUGCAUCCCACAGUUUUGUGUCCCUUAGGUAGAGUACAAAUGUCCCAAGUACUAUUCUUUUCAAGAGCUUUCAUCUCUUCCAUGACAGCAUUCUUCCAUUCAGGAUACUUUAAAGCAGUGUAGAUAUCUUUUGGUAUUAUGGUAGAGUCAAGGCUUGCUGUAAAAGCUCUGAACUGAGGAGAGAGACUAUCGUAGGAAACAUAAUUGCAAAUGGGGUGUUUAGUACAAGACCUGGUGCCUUUUCUCAGAGCAAUGGGAAUGUCAAGAGAGGAAUCAUACUCAUCUGAUUUUCCUGUAUGACCCUGUUCCGCUUCAUUAUUACGGGUUUCUAUUCUGACCUCAAUCUCAUCACCACUGUCCUUUUCUUCCACGUUUUCAAGAACAGCAACAUUAGACCUGUCAUUCUCACUUAUCAUAUUCUUAGUACAGGGUUCAGUAGGGUUUUCCAUACCUUGAUCUCGAGGAGGUUCAGAGUCUUGGACUGGAGCCGGCGGCUGACUAGUAGGGGAACCGACUUCCUUUUUGUGAUUCCUCCUGUAGUACGUUUUCCAGGGGACUUGGUUUGUGGGUAGGACUAUGGAAUGAGGAAUGAUGUUAGACACGACACUAGGAGUGGGUUCGAUGAAUUCAAAGGUGUUGUUAGACUCUUCACUCACACUCUCCCCCUGAAGAUGGCUAACGGGAAAGUAGGGUCGAUCCUCACAGAAAGUAACAUCCAUAGUGACAAAGUAUUUUCUGGAUGGUGGGUGAAAACAUUUAUAACCACGCUGGUGAGGGGGAUACCCAACAAACACACAUGCCUGAGCCCGAGGGGUAAAUUUGGUUUGAUUAGGGCCAAAAUUAUGGACAUAAGCGGUACACCCAAACACACGAAGAGGAACCUCAGAAACAUGACGAGUCGAUGGGUAGGACUCCUUAAGACAAUCUAAGGGAGUUUGAAGAUGAAGAAUACGAGAAGGCAUUCUAUUGAUUAAAUGAGCUGCUGUAAGAAUAGCAUCUCCCCACAAGUAUGAAGGAAGGGAAGUAGAAAGCAUAAGGGAACGGGCUACUUCCAGAAGGUGACGGUUUUUUCGCUCGGCCACUCCAUUUUGUUGAGGAGUGUAGGCGCACGAGUUUUGAUGAACAAUCCCCUUGGAAGCAAGAAAUUCACUAAGGUUAUGGUUUUGGAAUUCCCGACCAUUAUCACUCCGAAGAAUAGCAAUUUUUUGAUGGAAUUGUGUUUCAAUGGUGUGAUAGAAAUUUUGAAACAUAGAGGAAACCUCAGAUUUAUCAGUGAUAAGGUAGACCCAGGUAAGACGGGUAUGAUCAUCAAUGAAGGUUACGAACCACCGUUUUCCAGAUGAGGUUGUUAUCUUGGAUGGUCCCCAGACAUCACUAUGAACAAGAGUGAAGGGUUGGGUUGGUUUGUAUGGUUGUGAGGGAAAAGAGACUCGAUGUUGUUUGGCCUGAAUACACACAUCACAAGAUAAGGUAGUCAUCUCAACUUUAGAGAAGAGAUGUGGAAAUAAAUGUUUCAUAUAUUGAAAAUUAGGGUGGCCUAAACGAAAAUGCCACAACAUACAAUCUUGUUCAGAAGUAGUGAAAUAGGAAGAUAAGAGACUAGUCCUAGGAAUGCUACUAGAAGAGGUAUCGUCAUCAAGGAGGUAGAGUCCCCUACUAUGCCGGGCAGUGCCAAUCAUCCUCCCCGAGCUCAAGUCCUGAAAAGAGACAGAAUCAGGUAAGAAUAUUGCUUUGCAGUUUAACUCAUGAGUGAUCUUGCUUAUCGAAAGCAAAUUAUAAGAUAGUUUGGGCACAUGCAAAACAUUAUGUAAGGAGAGCCCUGCACAAGGAGAAAUCUUCCCCUUUCCAGCAAUGGGGGCCAAGGAGCCAUCUGCAAUUCUAAUUGUCUCGUUCCCAGCACAAGGAAUGUAAGAUACAAAAUGUUCAGAGGACCCAGUCAAAUGAUCUGUGGCACCAGAAUCCAGAAUCCAGGGGUUCUUCCCAUCAAUACUAACAAGACCGAAGGAAUGAGGUAUACCUGAUUGGACAAUGGCACCUAAAGUGGCAAGACUGAGAUCAGUUUGGUUUUUGUGUGGAUCGGAUUGUUGAGGAGGUUCAGCAGACUCACUCACAUACGCCCGCCCUGUGUUCUGUUUGUCGUUGGAAGGGCGUUUCUUACUUCCUGGGGGACGACCAUGUAACUUCCAACAUUGUUCUUUGGUAUGCCAUUGUUUUUUGCAAUGCUCGCAGACAGGAAUUGGUUUUCCAUUAUGCUUGUCACUGCUACUGUUAGAAGAUCUUGCACUAAAAGCAGCAGAGUCAAUAGUAGGGGUUGCGGAAAUAUUCAUAGCACUUGUGCGAUCUUCCUCGAGGCGGAUUUCAGAGCAAACUUCCAUCAGGGAGGGAAUCGGUCUUUGACCUAGUAUACGCCCUCGAACUACAUCAAACUUAGGAUUAAGACCAGCAAGAAAGUCAUAAAUCCUGUCAUUCUCUUCAAUUCUCGAGUACUGUACACCAUCAGUGGGAUCACGCCAGACUAGUUCUCUGCAUAGGUCCAUUUCUUGCCAUAUAAGAGAAAGCUUAUUGAAAAAGGAUGUGACAUCCAUGGUUCCUUGCUUGCAUUCAUGAACUUGCUUUCUCAGCGUGUAUAGACGAGAGGCAUUCUGACGUUUUGAGUAAAGUGUCUGGGCUGUGUCCCAAAUAUCCUUGGCUGUUGCAGCAAACAAUAACGGCUUGCCAAUUUGAGGUUCCAUACUAUUGAUCAAUAUGGAUCGAAGAAUAGAGUCUUCUGCCUUCCAAUAUCGUUCAUGUGGGUCGCCCGGUAGGGGGCGAGGUAUUUCCCUGUCAGAAAGCUAAAUUUUUGUCGUCCUUCGAGGACCAUCUUUACUGACUGAGACCAUGAGAAAUAGUUGUUGCCAUUCAACUUUUCUCCUGAAAGAUGAUACAUGGAAGACUGAGCCACCGUAUUAGUCACAUAAGGAGAGGAUACAUUAGGGAACGAGUUUACCGGAUUCUCAGAAUACAUCGGUAGAGUGGAUGUCGUCCCUAAGGUAGCCUCAAGUGCUGCUAUCUGUUGUCGAAGCCCUUCCAAUUGUUGAUGAACUAUUCCCGAGGAAGCUUGCACGUUACGGUUGGAAUAUGCCGAAGAUUCACCAACCUCAAAUGUUGAGUGAAUUUGAGAGUUUUUAACAUCGGGAUGGUAGCUAGGAUCAUUGGGUGGCUGGCCAUACAGAUUUGACGAGCAGAAGCGGUGGUAGCCGAUUGGAAUUAGAUGGCAGAACAUAAAUCGGGGCGUGGGGAGCAAUAUAGGCCGCGGACGAAGAAAAGGGUUGGACAGAUGGGAUGGUCGGCGCCGUCUGAGGAAGAAAACCAGGCGCGUGGUGGUCCGGUGACGGCGCGGACGACUGCGGUAAUGACGAAAAAUUAUUUUCGGACGUUUUCUGUAGCCGGCUUAAUAAUUCGUCCAUGGCAGCACUCAUCCGAGCAUCGGUGGCAGCAGCUACGGCAGCACUAAAAUUGAUGGUUGUCCCUUCUGUUUGAUUUUAAUCAGUGGUUUGGUUUUUUUGGGUUUCUAGGGUGUUUUCAUUGUCCCGCUCUGAUACCAUAUUGAAAAGAGAGACAACGAGUUCACACCAAUUUACGUGGAAACCCGAAUACCGGGAGAAAAACCACGGUUGUUUGUUGUUAUUAUUUUCUAAUGAAUAAAACAAUAGGUACAGGGGAGAAUAAAUAGAGUACACAAUGGAAUAAAAAAGGAAAAGAUUUAGGAAAAUAAGGAAUACAUUCCCAUAAUCUUUCCAUAAUUGUUCUAGGAUUCUAACAAGGAAAAAGCCUAGAAAAAAAGGAAAGAAUUCCAACAGUUUUCAAGGUUUAAGAACACUUUUGGUCCCUGAGCUUUCACGAAAGUAAUAAUGUAUUUCCUAAACUUUAAAAUGCAAAAAUUUUGUCUAUUUACUUUCAACUUUGUAUGGACUUUAGUCUCUAUGAUGAAAGUGUUCAUUCAAAUUAAGUGUUAAUUUAUAUUACAUAAUGGCUUAGUCUUCAUAGUUUAUAUGUGAAUUUGAUCAUCAAUGAGUUAUAAACCUACCCGGGUAAGAAACUUAACUCAAUCACAAUAAUAAUUUCCACCAUAGAGAUUUGGUUCUUACUAAUUGUAAAUUACAAGAACUAAAUUGUUACAUUUUAAAGUUAAGGAACUAAAUUGUUAAUACAUUUGCAAGAAUGAGGACUAUCUUUUUGUUACCAACUAAAGUUGAGGGUCAAAAUCGUUAGUUUUAUGCUAGUUUAGGGACGAAAAGUGUUUUUUAAUUAUUCGCUACACAGAACUCAUUAUUGAAUUAUCUUAUUCUUAACAGACAAAUCUGUUCAUGAUAUCGGCUCGACAAAAAUCACCAAGCAUGUCGUGCCAACACAUCACAGGUUGGUUUCUUGACUAAAUGAACCUAAUUUUGUUUGUUAUUUCCCCACGAACGAUGGUAAACAUACUGUAGCAUUGUACUUGAGCAGGGCAAGAACACGAGGUGCCCUUCUGCAAGAUAACGAAGAUGACGAUGGAAGGUAAAAAAAACAAGACAGUUUCAAAAUGUUGAGUCCUUGUGUUCAAAACUAGUGUUAGACAUGGAGUAGGUAAACAAAAUAAUAGAUAUGAUUGUGCAAUGCAGACAUUUCUUUGUUGUAUAUGAUUACGUAAUUCUCAUCUAACUUUGGCUUUCUGCUCAAUUUAGAUUCGAAAAUGUGUAAAUUUUCGAAUGACGAGUAGAUACAAAUUUGAAAUAUAUUGUGCAGCUUAAAACAAGUCACAGUGUGAGACUUUUCAUUAAUUUCUCAAACAAAUCAGCACUUGUUGACAACUUUAUAUUACCAUAUGAGUUAGCUUGAAAAAUAUUAUUAUUAUUAUUAGAAUGUAGAACACAUUUUAAUUUCCAAUAUAUCACGUUCUACAAUUUUUUAAACAUUUAUUUUCAAAACUCUUGACUUUUCUUUAGAAAAAACCAAAAGCUUUUGUUCCAAUAUAUCAGGUUGUAGUCUUUGGCCCUUGAAUUUUGUUAACAUUUAUUUUCAACUAUAUUGACUCUUUCUUUAGAAAAAAUAAAAAAAAAAUUCAAACGAUUACCGAUAAUAAAAAUAGAUAAAGAUAUAAUUUGAAAGAUAUUUAUGAAUAAGUUUAUGAGUAAAAAUAGAUAAAGAUAUAAUCUAAAAGUCGUAUCAUUAAUAAAAGUUUAUCAAAUCAAAAAAUUUAUUACGAAAAAAAAAUAUAGAUAAUCUAACGAAGAGGGAAUCCAAAAAUGAUGAUGUAAAAAGGAAUGAAAAAGCAUUAUCCCCACACUUUAGUUUCUCGUACAAUGAGAACCAUCCAAAUUGUGACAAAGACAGAAAUGAGAUAAGCACAAACCACCAUUAUUGCAAUACAACAAUCAACUAAACUCAAACUCACUCACUCACCUAGACACAACUUUUAAUGCACUCUUUUUGAAAAAGCUUUCCCAAACAAAAGAAGAAGAAAAAAAAACUUAUAUAAUGUGUUGUAUACAAAUUAUUUAUGUUUAUAUGCAGAGUUGCAUUCAUGAACCACUGAUAUAUAGUGAAACUGAUAUGAGUUGUAACUUUUGUAGUUCUAUUUCAUUGGUGCCUCAUAUGGAAGUGGUGGUGAUUGGUGGGUCAUAUACUCAUUAAGAACAAAAAUAAUAAUAAAUCAAAUGAAAAAGUUACUUUUUACUUUUUAGAAAAAGCGAUUGCAAAUGACUAAGUAAUGGAGACAUUGAUAGGUCUAUCAAUAUAUUUAUAUAUAUUAGGUGAGGCAAUUGGAUUAGAAUGAUAAAAUAGCAACUUUUAUCCAAUCAAUUACUUUAUAAAUGUUAAAAGAAGAACGAAGAAAGAGUUGUUUUUCAAAUUAAGCAACAUAAACUCUAUAUUUUGACAACAAAGUUAAAAAGAUAACUUUAUAUUUUUCUUCUUCUUUUAUAAAGAUAUGAUUGAACAUACACCAUUUCAGGAGGUGUCGGUGUCCACUAACAUUAUGCCCAUCCCAUGGUUGCUUUCAUUUCAAAAGGAUCAAAAUUUGGAUAUGAACUCUUACAUUUUGCCUUUUGGUGUUACCUAACUUUUCUUUAAUUAAAAUUAAAGUGUGUUUAGUUUGGAGCAAUUCUAUGUUCGGUGACUUUUUGAAAAUUUUCUUAGAAUGGAUGUGAGUGAAAACAAAACAUGCUGAAAUGACUCUAAUUGGUUCGUGGAACAACUUUCACUCUAAUAAGUCUUUAAGACAAGUAAGAAUGAUAUUGUCAAGUCGCAAGUAAUUAGACGUUACAGAUAUAUAGUUUUAUUUAUAUAUAAACACAUAUCUACAUUAGUGAGGGUCAUACGUUUUACAGAGUGUUUGUAUUUACUCAGUAACACUAAUAUCAUUUUCACACAUUUAAAUUUAUGCACGUUAUAGAUUUUAUUAGGUAUGUAUACAACUUAAUAACACUAGUAAGUAUAAUGUUUUGUUGGUGUAUAUACAUAUAUACAUAAUACGUCUACGUUUUUGCAGAUUAUUGAUUUAGUAACUUUCUUUGGGUGAAUUCAAUUUGUUUUUUUUUGUAACAAAACUAAAUUGUAAAGUCUAGUGUUAGAAAGUAUGGUUUCUCUCCUUCACCCUUUGUUUAAUAAUUUUAAUAAUUUUAAGUUUUAAUAGAUUGUGUUCAUAUUAAGACGAUGGCAUAAGCAGAGUUGGGUGUGGGGCACCGCCGUCACCACCACUACCAAUCUUCAACAAAUCACUUUAACGACGUAUGGGUAAAGGCAGUUAGUAUUAUUGGGUUAAUCAAUUUUAAAUACAUCUUGUACCACUAAAUUCUUUUACUUUAUUAUCUGUUUUUUACCAAACCAAAUCUUUCUUACACUACAAGAGUUUUUUUUCUUUUUCUUUUUUAUCUUUAUAAAAAAAAUACAAACCAUCAUAAUAAGAAAUUAAGAAAGAAGUAAAAGUUAAAAAUCAAAGGUUAAUCAAACGGAUCUUCAAUGUUGAGCUAUUACCAUUUAUAUCCACGAUUUGUUUAAAUAAUAUUUAAAUUCUAAGUCUUCAGUCAUUUUGUGAUUGAGUAAUUUUUAAUAUCAUCCUUCAGAAAAGAAAAGGAUUAGGAUUAGGAUUGUCCUAAUGGGAGUGGGAGUGGGAGUGGGGAGUAGAGAAUUUUGUGAGGAUGAAGAUGGGAUAGGGGGGCGGGGACGGGGAUCGGUAGUGGCAUCCCCGGCCCUCCUCGUCCCGUGGACAUCUCUACUCCUCAUCCCCGUCCCUCACCAUUAAUACCGCGCAUAAGGAGUGAUCCAUUUCCGAUAACGAAAAUCGUGCGUGGGGAAUGGUCCCAACGCUCGACGCGCAAGUGAAACCGUCGUGUGUCGAGUGAUGGAUCUUACAAGGUGGGUGGGAGGGGACGGGGGGGGGGGGGGGGGGGGGGGGGGGAAUAUUUAUAAUUUUAAUUAAGAAGGAUAGAUAUUGAAGAGAGGAAUGAGAAAUUAGAAUGAAAUCAAAACAUUAUAUGGUAGAUGAAACUUAACAUAAAUCAAAGCACAUAGAAACUAAAUAGAAGAGAGAGAGAGAGAGAGAGUUGGAUGAAUUCAUUUGUUGGUGGUGGAGGAUGAGUUGGCGGCGAUGCCGAAGUUGCCUGUGGAGAGAAAUUGGUUUUUGAGUGCGCUCCUCGACGCCGGAUAUUGAGAAGAAUAGGAAUAACCCGGAUAUGGAGUAGUACAUGGUUUCGAUUUCCGUUCGGCGCCGGACUUCAUUUUUUCUCCGUCUUUGUCUUUUGAUUUUUGCUUAUCGCUUCUCUCACUCAUCUUUUCCCCUUUCAUAAUAUUAUCUUCCACCUUCCAAAUAAUAAUAAUUGAGCUUGAGCCACCCACGCAUUUAUAACCUUAAUUUUACACGUGUCUUUUUCUUUUUACUCUUUUAAAUUUUCCAUAAAAUUACAUAUUCUAUAUACAGCUUACCUUCAUAAACCCUAUCUACUGUUGAAUCACUUUAUCUUUACUAUUUAGGAUAAUUUUCUAUAAUCAUAAAGGCAGAUGAAAUUUUAAUUUGGUUGCUAUGAUUCCAAAAAAAUAUAAU
This 36956-nucleotide long non-coding RNA is filed under the name Cucumis sativus (cucumber). Its description in RNAcentral is "long non-coding RNA (CSAT_LNC000685)". Lineage: Eukaryota; Viridiplantae; Streptophyta; Magnoliopsida; Cucurbitales; Cucurbitaceae. The record is from RNAcentral.